CCUACGGGUGGCAGCAGUGGGGAAUAUUGGUCAAUGGGCGCGAGCCUGAACCAGCCAAGUAGCGUGAAGGAUGACUGCCCUACGGAUUGUAAACUUCUUUUAUAAAGGAAUAAAGUGAGGCACGUGUGCCUUUUUGUAUGUACUUUAUGAAUAAGGAUCGGCUAACUCCGUGCCAGCAGCCGCGGUAAUACGGAGGAUCCGAGCGUUAUCCGGAUUUAUUGGGUUUAAAGGGAGCGUAGAUGGGUUGUUAAGUCAGUUGUGAAAGUUUGCGGCUCAACCGUAAAAUUGCAAUUGAUACUGGCAGUCUUGAGUACAGUUGAGGUAGGCGGAAUUCGUGGUGUAGCGGUGAAAUGCUUAGAUAUCGCGAAGAACACCGAUUGCGAAGGCAGCUUCCUAGACUGCCACUGACAUUGAUGCUCGAAAGUGUGGGUAGCAAACAGGAUUAGAUACCCCAGUAGUC
Molecule: ribosomal RNA, 460 nt
Filed under: uncultured bacterium
Lineage: Bacteria
Description: partial 16S ribosomal RNA
Rfam family: Bacterial small subunit ribosomal RNA
Source: RNAcentral